GCUUAAAUAGCUCAAAUGGUAGAGCACUAAACUGAAGCUUUAGUGGAGAAGGUUCAAUUCCUUCUUUAGGCA
Molecule: non-coding RNA, 72 nt
Organism: Trichoplax adhaerens
Lineage: Eukaryota; Metazoa; Placozoa; Uniplacotomia; Trichoplacea; Trichoplacidae
Source: Rfam